CAAACCCUAAAGUUUUUCAUUAUCUUCAUCUCCUCUCUCUAGCGCCGCACUCAACUCUCCUCUUCAUUUUUUCCAGCGACAAUCACCACCACUUGCUGGUGGCAGCCGCCUCUCUCUCUAUCUCUUUCUCUCCCUUCCCCUCUCAUCCCUUCUUCUCCGUCUCCUUUUUCUCCUCGUCUGACCAGCAACCGGCGAGGACCACCUGGUGAAUCUGCCAGCGAAUGGCGAAGCUCCAAGUAAUCAGCAACAGCAACUGACGAGGAGAGCAACAACAGCUCCGACCAACAACAACCAGCGCGAGAGCCAGCUCCGACUCCGACGAGCUACUGGCGAAACAACAGCGCACCAGUAGCAACGACAACAACGAUCCAGCGAGACCCUCGCAUCUCCAUUCCUCUCAUCUCCGGCGAAGUUCGAGUUCAAAGACGGAUCUCAACAAAUCCGUCCUAGUUUGAACACAAAGUUCAAGAUAUGGAGAGUCGCCAUGGGAGGGAAACAAUAGACAAGCGGAUUUCAUUUAAUUUACGUCUGUGUAUUAUUUAAUCUUUAUUAUUUUUCUGUAAUAAUCUGUAAACUCGAACUCCAUGGAUUUAUAUGAAAUACUUGGGGAAUCGUCUAAGGGGGAGGGGAUUACGUGCUAACUGUUUCUUCUUUUUUAGGCCUUAUUUUAUUAUGUGAUUGUUAUAGAUGAUUUGUAUAUCACUAAAAAAAAAAACAUACAGGCAUAUAGAAAUAUAUCCUAAUAAUUGGCUUAAAAUCAACCUUUGUUUAUAACUUUAUCUGAUUGAUCAAUCUUGCAUGAAUACGUGUUAAAAUAUGCUAUGAAUCGUGAACUUGUAGAAUCUUGUCUCACAUGCUAAUAUUAUUAAAUUUUGGAAAUUGACUAAACUAUUAGACAUCAUGCCUAUAGGUUUUUCUGAAUCUUAUUAUAAUUUUCAGCCUGUUCUAUUUAGAAAUCAUGAUCAUAAGGUUUAUUUUUCACUCUGCAUAUUAUUCGGGGUUUAGAAAAUCAUGCCUAUAGGUUUCGGAAUAUUAUUAUAACUUUAUAUAGAAAUUAUGUCUAUAAGUUUAAUAAAUUUCAACAUGUUCACUUAGAAACCAUGUCUAUAGGAUCUAACUAAUAAGACUAGUGUUAAUAAGAUUAAAUAAAAUUUCUUGUUAAAAUCUUACUCUAAUAAUUUUCAGCAUGUUCAAAAACUGAAAUAAAUUUGCUACAUAUUUUUUGUAAAUCAAAAUAAAUAUUAACUAUUUCUAGCAUGAAAAAAAAUUAACUUACAGAACUACUUUUUGCACUAUUAAUGCUGAAAUAUUUCCUGCAUGUUUAAGAGAAAUCAGUACAACAAUAUUUUGAUUAAAACCUGAGCUGUUUUAAAUUAACAGUUGUGAAUAAAUUCAGACCACUUAGAAAUCAUGCCUAUAGGUUGUAGACUUGAUUUUACUUAUUUAUAGUAUCAUGCCUAUAGGUGCUAUGCAAUAUUUUUCAAACACCUAGAGAUCAUGUUCAAGGUAUUAUUAAUUAAUCUCCAGCAUGCUAAUCACUGAAAUAAUAAUUUACUUCUGCCACUGUUUUCCAGCAUGUUAAAUAACCCAAAUUCUGUUAUGACUUUUCCGUCAUUAUCAAAGUACUGUGACAUUAUUAUAAUCUGCUACUAAAUAAAGCUAAUAAAUCAGCUCUUGCACGUUUUAAUUUUAAAAUCUGCCCUUGCAAAAUCAUGCCCGAAAUUAAUUAUUUUCCGCAUUCGAAUUGCCACUUAAAUUAAUUUCUGCACUAAUAAUACCAUAUGCUACUGUUCUAAAAAAUAUAUAUUUUCUGCAUUUGUUACUCGCUUGUCCUAAUUAAAAAUUAGCUACUGUCUUUCUACAUUUUAACAAAUUGACUGCCAUAUUAAAUUAAUCUUUGCAAUAAUAAUUAAAUUUGUUGUUGUUUUAAAAUAUUUUUGCAUGUGUGACCACUUUUCUGCUAUAUUUUAAAAUCAAUAAAUAAAAUAGGCUAUGUCAUAAAUUUCUGUCCUUUUAAAAUCAGUUGAUAAAUAAAAUCUGUUUUUCUGUAAUAAUUUUUGCCAAUCUCAAUUAAAUAAUUUCAUUGUUGUAAUGCUUGUGUAUACGCCACACACUUAGCAUGCGACCUUUUCACCUUACUUGUGUUUGCUAGCAUGUUAAUAAACUAAUCUAGAGGCCAACAUGAGAUUUACGUGCUAAAAUGCUCGUCUUAUUUGUUUGACUUGGUGUCUAGGUGGGCCUAAUUAGGAGCCUCUAUUUUUAUUUUAGUCUAAAACCUUCAUGUUAGCCGUCCAAUGCCUCUUGGACCUUAAGUGGGUACGGUAGGCACCUUUUAGAGACGAAAAUCAUGCGAUGGUGGGCUAGGGAUAGUCUAGGCCCUACGGAGAUGAUGACAUUGCCUCGAGCCGUAAAUGAUAAACAUUUGUUUUGUCUAUCUCCAUAUAGAAGUCGAGCGCUGAUCCGUAAAAUCCUUCAGAGUCUCCCUUUCCUUUUGUCUCUUUGUUUGUUUAUAAUUAUAAUUGUUUGGGGUAGCUUAAAUAAAAUAUAAAAAUUGUUUGCUUA
Molecule: long non-coding RNA, 2562 nt
Organism: Solanum tuberosum (potato)
Lineage: Eukaryota; Viridiplantae; Streptophyta; Magnoliopsida; Solanales; Solanaceae
Exons: 2
Source: RefSeq, a predicted model, not a curated record